GACGAACGCUGGCGGCGUGCUUAACACAUGCAAGUCGAACGGUAAGGCCCUUCGGGGUACACGAGUGGCGAACGGGUGAGUAACACGUGGGUGAUCUGCCCUGCACUUCGGGAUAAGCCUGGGAAACUGGGUCUAAUACCGGAUAGGACCACUGCCUGCAUGGGCGGUGGUGGAAAGCUUUUGCGGUGUGGGAUGGGCCCGCGGCCUAUCAGCUUGUUGGUGGGGUGAGGGCCUACCAAGGCGACGACGGGUAGCCGGCCUGAGAGGGUGACCGGCCACACUGGGACUGAGAUACGGCCCAGAAGCCUACGGGAGGCAGCAGUGGGGAAUAUUGCACAAUGUGCGCAAGCCUGAUGCAGCGACGCCGCGUGAGGGAUGACGGCCUUCGGGUUGUAAACCUGUUUCAGCACCGACGAAGCGCAAGUGACGGUAGGUGCAGAAGAAGGACCGGCCAACUACGUGCCAGCCGCCGCCGUAA
This 478-nucleotide ribosomal RNA is filed under the name uncultured bacterium. RNAcentral's name for it is "partial 16S ribosomal RNA". It matches the Rfam family "Bacterial small subunit ribosomal RNA", at positions 28 to 523 of the family's 1533-position model. The record is from RNAcentral.